RNAcentral lists this ribosomal RNA (1372 nucleotides) under uncultured bacterium. RNAcentral describes it as "bacterial SSU rRNA". It matches the Rfam family "Bacterial small subunit ribosomal RNA", at positions 28 to 1381 of the family's 1533-position model. The record is from RNAcentral.
GAUGAACGCUGGCGGCGUGCCUAAUACAUGCAAGUCGAGCGAACGGACGAGAAGCUUGCUUCUCUGAUGUUAGCGGCGGACGGGUGAGUAACACGUGGAUAACCUACCUAUAAGACUGGGAUAACUUCGGGAAACCGGAGCUAAUACCGGAUAAUAUUUUGAACCGCAUGGUUCAAAAGUGAAAGACGGUCUUGCUGUCACUUAUAGAUGGAUCCGCGCUGCAUUAGCUAGUUGGUAAGGUAACGGCUUACCAAGGCAACGAUGCAUAGCCGACCUGAGAGGGUGAUCGGCCACACUGGAACUGAGACACGGUCCAGACUCCUACGGGAGGCAGCAGUAGGGAAUCUUCCGCAAUGGGCGAAAGCCUGACGGAGCAACGCCGCGUGAGUGAUGAAGGUCUUCGGAUCGUAAAACUCUGUUAUUAGGGAAGAACAUAUGUGUAAGUAACUGUGCACAUCUUGACGGUACCUAAUCAGAAAGCCACGGCUAACUACGUGCCAGCAGCCGCGGUAAUACGUAGGUGGCAAGCGUUAUCCGGAAUUAUUGGGCGUAAAGCGCGCGUAGGCGGUUUUUUAAGUCUGAUGUGAAAGCCCACGGCUCAACCGUGGAGGGUCAUUGGAAACUGGAAAACUUGAGUGCAGAAGAGGAAAGUGGAAUUCCAUGUGUAGCGGUGAAAUGCGCAGAGAUAUGGAGGAACACCAGUGGCGAAGGCGACUUUCUGGUCUGUAACUGACGCUGAUGUGCGAAAGCGUGGGGAUCAAACAGGAUUAGAUACCCUGGUAGUCCACGCCGUAAACGAUGAGUGCUAAGUGUUAGGGGGUUUCCGCCCCUUAGUGCUGCAGCUAACGCAUUAAGCACUCCGCCUGGGGAGUACGACCGCAAGGUUGAAACUCAAAGGAAUUGACGGGGACCCGCACAAGCGGUGGAGCAUGUGGUUUAAUUCGAAGCAACGCGAAGAACCUUACCAAAUCUUGACAUCCUUUGACAACUCUAGAGAUAGAGUUUUCCCCUUCGGGGGACAGAGUGACAGGUGGUGCAUGGUUGUCGUCAGCUCGUGUCGUGAGAUGUUGGGUUAGGUCCCGCAACGAGCGCAACCCUUAAGCUUAGUUGCCAUCAUUAAGUUGGGCACUCUAAGUUGACUGCCGGUGACAAACCGGAGGAAGGUGGGGAUGACGUCAAAUCAUCAUGCCCCUUAUGAUUUGGGCUACACACGUGCUACAAUGGACAAUACAAAGGGUAGCGAAACCGCGAGGUCAAGCAAAUCCCAUAAAGUUGUUCUCAGUUCGGAUUGCAGUCUGCAACUCGACUACAUGAAGCUGGAAUCGCUAGUAAUCGUAGAUCAGCAUGCUACGGUGAAUACGUUCCCGGGUCU